Molecule: ribosomal RNA, 606 nt
Filed under: uncultured Chlamydia sp.
Lineage: Bacteria; Pseudomonadati; Chlamydiota; Chlamydiia; Chlamydiales; Chlamydiaceae
Description: bacterial LSU rRNA
Rfam family: Bacterial large subunit ribosomal RNA
Source: RNAcentral
CAAGUUAAUAAGAGCUAUUGGUGGAUGCCUUGGCAUUGAAAGGCGAUGAAGGAUGCGUUUACCUGCAAUAAUCUUCGGCGAGCUGGUAUAAAGCUAUGACCCGGAGGUGUCCGAAUGGGAAAACCCGAUAGAUUAAUAUUCUAUCAUUGUAUGCUGAAUUCAUAGGCAUACAAGGCAAUACCUACUGAACUGAAACAUCUUAGUAAGUAGAGGAAAAGAAAUCAAAGAGAUUCCCUGUGUAGCGGCGAGCGAAAGGGGAUAAGUCUAAACCAUAUUUUUAAUAUGGGGUUGUAGGGUCGAUAACAUGAGAUCUUAAGUUUUAGUUGAAUACUUCUGGAAAGUUGAACAAUAUAGGGUGAUAGUCCCGUAAACGAAAAAACAAAAGACUUUAUUCGAUACCUGAGUAGGGCUAGACACGUGAAACCUAGUCUGAAUCUGGGGAGACCACUCUCCAAGACUAAAUACUAAUCAAUGACCUAUAGUGAACCAGUACUGUGAAGGAAAGGUGAAAAGAACCCUUGUUAAGGGAGUGAAAUAGAACCUGAAACCAGUAGCUUAUAAGCGGUCGAAGACCUAUAACUCUUCGGAGUCAUGGUUGACGGCGUG